CUUAGUAGUUUGGAGUGGACCAGGUCUGCCGCAAGGGCCACAUGGCGGUCACCUGCGGCCAACAGUGCUGACGUCCCCAGCCCUGUUUCUCCAUGCCUCUCCAUUCCCUUUGGGGAGGCAGGGUUUAUGAAGAGACCUGAGAUUCUUAGCCACUUGUUCGGGGCAGGAAACCCUUCGCCUUGCAAGGGACAGUAAUGAUGACGUUCUGGCUGUCACUCUGCCUCCUCCAGAGGGAACAGCACAGCCCCCACCAAGACAGGGGUUCUCUCUAAAGCGGACUGCCUCUCUCUCUCUCUCCUCCCUCCUCCACCUGCUGGGGCAGGACUCCUGGGAUGGAGAGCAGUGAUUUAGGAGGCUGGGGGAGGGGAGUGAAUGAAACAGCCCAAGAUUGAUCUUGGAGAGCCUGCUGCCCUCUCUUCUCCCCGAAAUGCCCACCACCAGGGCUAUUUUAGUUAGAGACAGGUGUGCAGUUUAUACACAAUAAAUCUCCCCAUGUUCCUCAAAAAAAAAAAAAUGCCAUUUUUUUUAGAACUCCUGGAGAAUUCAUUUCACGUCUCUUUGUUCCACAGUAACCAUGCUCCUAAACUACUCAGAAUCCUUGGCAGGGCCAUGCCAGUCCCCCUUGAGAGCAGCUGAGAGCACUUCCUGGAAGACAGAUUGGACAGAGUCCCUUUCCGGUGGUGACGACCUCCCCACGAGAAUAUGCCCCUUGCAAAGGAUCUCCUGCACUCAUCCCCGUAAGAGGAUAAGAGGAAGCACAAGAAGAAGCACCUAGUGCAGAGCCUCAACUCCUACUUCAUGGAUGUGAAGUGCCUGGGAUGCUACAAAAUCACCACCAUCUUCAGCUGCACACAGACGGUAAUUCUGUGUGUCGACUGCCCCACUGGCCUCUGCCAGCCGAUGGGAGGAAAAGCAAGGCUUACAGAAGGAUGCUCCUUCAGGCGGAAGCAGCACUAAAAGCUCCCUGAAUCAAGAUGAGUGGGACACUAUCCCAAUAAACAGAUUUUGGAUACUACUACUACUACUACUACUAAUAAUAAAAUAAUGAAUAAAAAUCUUUCAGAGUGGGACACUAUCCCAGUAAACAGAUUUUGGAUACUACUACUACUACUAAUAACAAUACUACUACUACUACUAAUAAAAUAAAUAAAAAUCUUUCAGAGGAAUCAUAUUUUGAUAAGCCAUUUUUCCCUCUAGCUCGGGACAGAUGACUGAUUCUUUAGUGGAGCUCUAGGGCAGUACUUGGCUCACACAGCAGGCCACCUGAUAAACCAGCAGAAUGGUGUUCACACCACAGUGGCAGGUGUAACCUAAGACCAAGAGCAAUGCUGGCUUUUUUUUUUUUUUUUAAGAUUUUACUUAUUUAUUCAUGAGAGACACACACAGAGAGAAAGGCAGAGACACAGGCAGAGGGAGAAGCAGGCUCCAUGCAGGGAGCCCGACGUGGGACUCCAUCCUGGGACUCCAGGAUCACGCCCUGGGCUGAAGGCGGCGCUAAACCGCUGAGCCACCCAGGCUGCCCAAUGCUGGCUUUUUUAAAAAAAUAGAACCAUCUUCCCUGCACAUGGUCCUGGUCAAUUAA
RNAcentral lists this long non-coding RNA (1582 nucleotides) under Canis lupus familiaris (dog). RNAcentral's name for it is "lncRNA (ENSCAFG00845013752.1)". The record is from RNAcentral. Lineage: Eukaryota; Metazoa; Chordata; Mammalia; Carnivora; Canidae.